GCCUAUCCCUUCUCCAGCAGAUCUUCUGACCCAGGAAUCCAGAUCUCUUAUAAUUUCUAAGGGAGAAUGUGACACAGUGAGUGCUGAGAAGCCAGAGAGUGACACAAUGAACCUGUUUCUGAUGCAGCCAUUCUAGUUGCACUUGGCUAUCUUCUUUGAAACAAGAAGAAUGUGGUAACUCAGGGUAAUUUUUGUCACCUGAAAAUAGAUAAUGUUUAUUGAAACAAAGGAUGGGUUAAGAGCAAGAAUUUGUCAUGAGACUGGACUGACUCAAGUUUCAAAUCUACCCUUUACUGUCUCUCUGAUCAUGAAAAGGUACCUAAAAUCUCCAAGUCUCAAUUAUCUUAUUUGCAAAUGGAACUAACAAUAAUUUCUGUGUCUUGGAGUUAUUUGGUAGGUUAAAUAAAUUCAUGCAUAUAAAGCAUUUAUUAGUGUAAAUGAGUGCUUAUGUUUGGUCAUGCAAGCAGAAUAUUUUGACUAAUGAGCUACUGCAGAAAAUCUUAUAUUUAAUGUUUUUUAAAAGAAUUUAAGGAUCAAUUAAAAUGGUUGAAGUUUUAAAUGGAUGUAUAGUGAUUUUGAUGUGGCACUUUCAUUAAAAUUCACAUUUUUGGGUUCUUGAGAGUUAAAAAAAAGUUGUUUAUACAUGCAGGAAAGCAUAUAUUAAUCCUUUUAAAGGAAAGGUUUGUGGUAUUUUGUCUAGAAAUUUCUUCUUGUAUAAAUGUUUAGUAAGUGUGUAAUAUGUGAUUGCUGUCAUAUGAUUAAAUUGUGUUCAUGCUGCUUACAGCAUAUGAAUAAAAUAAGAAAUUGGUCAGGUA
Cervus elaphus (red deer) is the source of this 815-nucleotide long non-coding RNA. RefSeq lists it as uncharacterized. The record is from RefSeq and is a predicted model, not a curated record. The transcript has 2 exons. Lineage: Eukaryota; Metazoa; Chordata; Mammalia; Artiodactyla; Cervidae.